Pan troglodytes (chimpanzee) is the source of this 5338-nucleotide RNA transcript. It is a transcript of the gene named general transcription factor IIE subunit 2, with no coding region annotated. Lineage: Eukaryota; Metazoa; Chordata; Mammalia; Primates; Hominidae. The record is from RefSeq and is a predicted model, not a curated record. The transcript has 10 exons.
GGCGCCGCGGUGGCUGCCGGGACUGAGCUCCAAGCACCCGAUCGGGAAGUGGCGGGCGGAGUCCCGGGUCGAGUCGCCACCUCAGCUACCGCCGCCGCCGCCGCCGCCGCCAGUGGCGAGACCCCGACCUGGCGGGUCAGCGCUGGGCGUGCGUGCGGGCAGGCGGGGGCGCUGACGAGAAGCAGGAAGAGGGUGCAGUGCCGGCGUGGGCGGCCGGCCGAGGCGGAGGCGCAGGAAGCGGGCGGCGAGUCGUACGAGGCUGCCCUUCUCACUCAGCAUUAUGGAUCCAAGCCUGUUGAGAGAAAGGGAGCUGUUCAAAAAACGAGCUCUUUCUACUCCUGUAGUAGAAAAACGUUCAGCAUCUUCUGAGUCAUCAUCAUCAUCGUCAAAGAAGAAGAAAACAAAGGUAGAACAUGGAGGAUCGUCAGGCUCUAAACAAAAUUCUGAUCAUAGCAAUGGAUCAUUUAACUUGAAAGCUUUGUCAGGAAGCUCUGGAUAUAAGUUUGGUGUUCUUGCUAAGAUUGUGAAUUACAUGAAGACACGGCAUCAGCGAGGAGAUACGCAUCCUCUAACCUUAGAUGAAAUUUUGGAUGAAACACAACAUUUAGAUAUUGGACUGAAGCAGAAACAAUGGCUAAUGACUGAGGCUUUAGUCAACAAUCCCAAAAUUGAAGUAAUAGAUGGGAAGUAUGCUUUCAAGCCCAAGUACAACGUGAGAGAUAAGAAGGCCCUACUUAGGCUCUUAGAUCAGCAUGACCAGCGAGGAUUAGGAGGAAUUCUUUUAGAAGACAUAGAAGAAGCACUGCCCAAUUCCCAGAAAGCUGUCAAGGCUUUGGGGGACCAGAUACUAUUUGUAAAUCGUCCCGAUAAGAAGAAAAUACUUUUCUUCAAUGAUAAGAGCUGUCAGUUUUCUGUGGAUGAAGAGUCACCAUGAAGAUGAUAGCCACCAAUGGGCCAAUAUAGUUACGACGUAUUGGCAACUUAGAUGUCAUAACUGGUCUCUUCCUUAAGUGGUAAAGAAUUCUUGGUAAAGUUCUGAAAAUACAAAGUAUAUUUCUUCUGUGAUUUAUCAAGGUUAAUAAUGCUAUAUUCUGUGUACAGUAUACAUUGUAUAUUCCUAGAAAAGUUUAUUAAAAGUGCCAAAAAUACUUUGUUUAUAUAUGUUAAAUAGAAUUGGGUUUGUAGGCUCAGCUUAUUGUUAUAAACUGGUAUUUUUCACUGAUCUGUAUCCCUCUUAAGAAGGAUGGUGGGGGUUAAGCAGGGCUUUCGACCUUGGCAGUGUUAACAUUUGGGGUUGGUUGAGUAGUUUUUUUUUUUGGUGUGGGGAGUGUCCUGAGCCUUGUAGGGCAUUGAUCAGCAUCCUUGGCUUGUUUAGAUACCAGUAGCUUAGCUUCCCUGCAGUGUGACAACCAAAACUUUCUUUAGACAUUAUCAAAUGUCACCUGGAGAACAAAUUCCCCUUGUUGGGAACUUGGUUAAAGGUCCAGUUUAUGUUGAUAGAAUAGAGGAAGAUUGAGACCCACUGUCUUCAGAUUCCUUUUCCUGGCUCCUGUCAUUCUGCACACUUGGUGGUGGAAGAAGAUCACAGUGAAUGAGGUUGCUGUCCUUGACCUUCCAGGCUGAGCGGGUAGAAUGGCAUAGGAAGCGUAGUUCAGCUGUUUGCAUUUUGUCGUUUUGGUGUUCACACGGUGCUGUAGAGACACCAGAGGGAACAGCCACUUACAGGAACCUCGGUAAUAUACAGAUCAGCUUUCCAGACCAUUGCUGCCACUAUUUAAGUAGGUAAUAUUACCUCUGCGAUUGUGUCAUAAGAGGUCCGCAGUAUGUAAGCUUCUUUGCAUAUCAGGUAGAAAGGCAAAGAAAUUUCUGUCUUCAAGGAACUGAAAUUUUGCAGUGGUAGAAAGUGUAUUGAAUGAAAUUAACCAGUGAGUAAAAGGUAUGUUUUUCCUAUGUACUUUUUUCCCAUUUUGCCUUUAUUGUUAUACAGAGAGAAGUACACAGUUGACUUGUUGGACAGAUAUGUAAUACUUAUUCUAAAGAAAUGGAUACAGUUUUCACAUGUUGAUAAAUUAGAACUUAACAAAUUGAUGAUCAAAAUACCAGAACUAUUCUUUGGUAGGAUAUAGUUUCUUUAACAGCUAUAAUAAUAAGUUUGACAUGUAAAAUUCUGGCUAUUGCCUACAUUUUAAAACAGUAAUUUUGCAUGCUUUAUUGGGAUUACAGAGAUAUUUUUGUUGCUGAGUUGGAAGUUUGACCUGAAAUUAUUUUCUUUCAUAUAUGCCUAUAGUGAGCAAAGCUAGCCACAUUCAUUAAACAGCCUUUAAAGUUUGGCUGAAAAGCAGAUAGUUGGGGACUUUUAGCUUCUACUUAGAAUGGAGAAAGCUAGAGAGAGCAUCGUUCCUACCUUGACAGCAACAACAAACCCCAGAAGUCUGCAUGCUGAUAUCUUCUUGAAUUCAUCAGUGAGCUGAGGUUGCAGGACAACCUCCUAACCCAAACUGUAAGGAGAGACAGGCACCCCCUUGGAAAGGUAAGACCUGAGCACUUGUUUACCUGAGACAGACAAAGUGAACAUCCCGCAGGAGAAUUCAGUUAAAAUUUAAUGAACUUAGUGUGGACCAGCAAGAAAACAGAGAUCGCCUGGGGGGCUGCAGACACGGGGAGUUUGUAUCCACUCACAGGCUCUUCUCCACAGAUUUCACUGGAUGCUUACAAAAAAGAUUGAGGCAAGGGUGUGGGUACUGAGAAAGUGUCCCUUACUGUUCCCCCUGGAGGAGAGGGACAGUAGAUCCUUUUGGAAAGACACGAAGCCGUGUCUGAGUCCUUCUUCCCUUCUUUGCUCCUAUGAGAUAAGAGCCUUAAACCACUGUGGAAAGAGAACAGAAAAAAAGUCUUUCGUCCUUGGCGAGGGACAGGAAUAUGUGCUAGGCCCAGAACUUUAGUGGAGGAGAAAGGGCAGGAGCACUGAGAAGGCCACACCCCGGUCACCAAGGAAGACAGUGUUUGCCCAAGACCAAGGCUUAAUCCUAAUGUCAGAGAAUCUUCCCACCCAUACGAGGCUAACAGCUGUGGACUGACAGGUGACACUGGAGAUCGGUGCGAGGCGCAAGAACGUGGAGGCAGACCAGCUCAGAUGCAGCGUAAAAGGAAGACCAAAAAAGCUGAAGGUCGAACAGACACUGAGGAAAACAUCCUCUGGCAAACCAGCCACUCCCCUAACACAGUUCGAAUCUGGUGGUACAUUGUGGGUAACCAUGGCAGCAACAAAUUCCAAACCACGCUUCUGUUCUGACAAUAGAUUGACUCAACCUCCACACACUAAAGAUCUGGCAGAAGGAAAGGCGGGCCCAUUUCCCAGGCAUAAAAACUAUUUACCUCAGUCUUAGCUGUCUUACAAAGGAUAUCCUGCUUUCAAAAAAGUUUUUGAGGCAUAAAAAGAAGGAAGGAAGAACAACACACUAUUGAGACAGGACACUUUUAAGACCAAAUUCUUUGGAACUACCAGACAUGGAAUUGAGACAGGACAUUUUUAAGACCAAAUUCUUUGGAACUACCAGACAUGGAAUCUAAAAUAACUGUUCAGUAUGUUAAAAUCUCUAGUAGAAAAGGCAGGCAACUUGUAUGGUCAGGUAGGAUAUUUCAGCAGAGAGAUAGACACUGUAAGAAAAUAAAAUAAAGGCUAAAAAUGAAAAUGACAGUAACAUAGGUGAAAAAUGUCUUCAACAAGCUCAUUAUUAAACUUGGUGUAGCCAAAGAAGGAGUCUGUGAACUUGAAUACAGCUGAAGUGUGAAAAAAAUAGGGCAGAGAACCCAUGAGCUGUGAGACAAUAUCAAGUGGUCUGAAUUUGUAAAGUCUGAGAAGGAAAAGAAAGAAAACGGGGCAGAAGAAAUACUUGAAGAUGUAAUGACCAAGAAUUUUCUAAAAUUAAUGAUGGACACCAAAGAUCUGUGAAGCUCAGAGAACACCAAUAGAUCAUCCCCCAAACCAGGCAAAUGACAGAAAAACACCGAGGCAUAUCAUAUUCAAACUGCAGAAUAUGAAAGAUGGAAAAUAUUGAAGGCAGUCGGAGGAAAGAGACUAAUUCCAGAGGAAAAAAAGAAUGCAGGGUUCUUAUUAGAACCCAUGCAGACCGAAAGAUAAUGCAGCAAGCACAUCUUUAAAUGGCCAAAAGGGAGAAAAUCCUUUCAACCCAGAAUUCCGUACACAGCAAAAACAAUCUUUUCUUUUCUUUUCUCUUCUUUUCUUUUUUCUUUUCCUUCCCCUUCCCCUUCCCCUUUUCCUUUCCUUUCUUUUCUUUUUUCUUGUCUGACUCUGUGGCCCAGGCUAGAGUGCAGUGGUGCAAUCUUGGCUCACUACAACCUCUGCCUCCAGGGCUCAAUUCAUCCUCCCAUCUCAGCCUCCUGAGUAGCUAGGACUGCAGGUACAUGCCACUACAUCUAGCUAAUUUUUUUGUAUUUCUAGUAGAGAUGGAGUUUCACCAUGUUGCCAAGGCUGGUUUUGAACUCUUGGGCUCAAGCAGUCUGCCCUCCUCAGCCUCCCAAAGUGUUAGGAUUACGGGUGUGAGCAACUGCAUCCGGCAAAAAUAAUCUUACAGAAAUGAAGGACAAAUGCUCUCUCAGAGAAACAGAAAUGGAGAGAAUUCAUUGCCAUCAGACCUGCACUACUGGAAAUAUUAAAGGAAGUUGUUCAGGAAGAAGAGAAUUUCAGAAACUGUGGAGGAGUGUCACUGUAGAUUCCAUGGACGAGGAGAAAAUUGAAGAAUAUCUGAAGCGACAGGGUAUUUCUUCCAUGCAGGAAUCUGGACCAAAGAAAGUGGCUCCUAUUCAGAGAAGGAAAAAGCCUGCUUCACAGAAAAAGCGACGCUUUAAGACUCAUAACGAACACUUGGCUGGAGUGCUGAAGGAUUACUCUGACAUUACUUCCAGCAAAUAGGGAACAGUUUUGCCCUGGAACAGAGUUACAGAUACACAAUCAAGAGUGUUCUUGCUGAUGCUCGGGGUCUGAAGACUGUCUUCCUAUCUGCUUCUUGCGGCUGAGGAGAGGAGCAGUUCAGUUUACAAAACAAGUGCAAAUUACCAAACUCAAAGCUUAUUUGAGUAGAAUGGGCUCAUGGGCAAUGUGAUGUUCCCUGUUAACCUUCUGUUACUCCCUGGGAGAAAGGCACUGAGCGUGGCAUGCAGGUGUCUUUGCUGUGUUUUUCUCCACUUCUAAAUGGUUCCUGGUUCCUUUCUUCCUCGUUUGUUACUUUAGAGCAAGUUUGCCCAUAGUCUUGAAUGCAAUAUUUGUUUAUUCCAAAAGAACAUAUUUAUAAUAAAAUCACUGUAGAAGGAUUUUUAA